Molecule: ribosomal RNA, 253 nt
Filed under: uncultured microorganism
Description: partial 16S ribosomal RNA
Rfam family: Bacterial small subunit ribosomal RNA
Source: RNAcentral
UACGUAGGGGGCAAGCGUUGUUCGGAGUUACUGGGCGUAAAGCGCGCGUAGGCGGUGCGGUAAGUCAGGGGUUAAAGGCUGCAGCUCAACUGCAGUAAGGCCUUUGAUACUAUCGUGCUAGAGUGUCAGAGAGGAUGGCGGAAUUCCCGGUGUAGCGGUGAAAUGCGUAGAUAUAUGGAGGAACACCGGUGGCGAAAGCGGCUCUCUGGACUGUAACUGACACUGAGGCUCGAAAGCGUGGGUAGCAAACAGG